This is a non-coding RNA of Acanthosepion pharaonis, 114 nucleotides long. The record is from the annotation of a GenBank genome assembly. NCBI's taxonomy places the organism in Eukaryota, Metazoa, Mollusca, Cephalopoda, Sepiida, Sepiidae.
UACGAACAUAUCACGUUUAAACACCGGUUCUCGUCCUAUCAGCGAAGUUAAGCAACGUCGGACCUGGUCAGCACCUAGAUGGGUGACCUCUUGCGAAUACAACGAGGCUGUAAG